CUCUUCUCGUCCAAGCUGGCCAAGGCUGGCAACACGUCCACCCCGAAUGGCUCUGCUGUGACGGAGCUCGACGUGGCCGAGUGGCCCGGUACGAACACGUUGGGCGUGUCCAUGAACCGCGUGGACUUCGCACCAGGGGGCACCAACCCGCCGCACAUCCACCCGCGCGCUACCGACAUUGGCAUCGUGAUGAAAGGUGAGCUCCUCGUUGGUAUCCUCGGCAGCCUCGACUCUGGGAACAAGCUCUACUCCAGGGUGGUGCGUGCUGGAGAGACGUUCCUCAUCCCACGCGGGCUCAUGCACUUCCAGUUCAACGUCGGUAAGACACAUGCCUCCAUGGUCGUCUCCUUCAACAGCCAGAACCCCGGAAUCGUCUUCGUGCCGCUCACGCUCUUCGGAUCCAACCCGCCCAUCCCCACACCGGUGCUCACCAAGGCUCUCCGGGUGGAGGCUGGGGUCGUGGAACUUCUCAAAUCCAAGUUCGCUGGUGGGUCUUAAUUCCUGGGAGCCAGCCCUGAAAUGAUCAAUAUAUAAUUCGAUAUAUGCAUGCUGGCGAAAUUUAAUGAUUCUCUGCAGAAGACAUGUAUUCAAGCUUCUGGUUAAGCUCCAUGCAGUUGUAUUAUCGACCGAAUGUGCUGGUGGCUGUCAACCGUUGGGCCUGGACGAGCGAGUGCAAUGUGUGUUGCUAUUUCAACCUUUGUUUAUUUUUUAACACAGUAGAUACAUAGACUUUUUUACGUAUGUACAUACACUCAUCUUUAUGAAUGAACGCAUGCAUGCCCUAUUUCUAUUAGCACAUUUGAGAGACCGAGCCAUCAUAUCAUCUUGAGAUUGACGAAGUCGUCACUCACAUCUUCAUAGUCAAUGCAAACAUCUCCUCCCACUAACAUAUGCCGCCGCCAUCGGGAGACAUAAAACAAAUUCAAAAAAUACGAGCACCUGCGUCAAGUCUAGGAUUUAAAUCUUAAUAGAGAAGACAUGCAACACUCUUGCAUGUUCUUGAAGAAAGAAAAAUCUCUAGUUCUGUACUCACUUAAGAGAGGGAGAGACAUGUGCUAAUUAACGUUGAGCGUAUAGCAUGAUUGUACCAACCCUGAACUGAAACUGGCUCCGGUCUCUCUCAAAUAAUUUCUUGAUUCAUUUCUGGAUGACUUGUUGCCAACAGUAUAUUUCACGUUCGGGCAGUGAAGGGGUUCUCAUUGGCUACUAGUACAAGUGAAGUACGCGCCUGAUCGAUCAUUCAACAAACCAACGAUUGAUCACAGUUUAAAAAUUCGCGAGACGCCAGCGAAACAACUAAAACGUGCUUGUCAGUGACAAUCAACGAGCCUGUUGUGUCGAAGAGUCAAGACUUUCUUUCUGACUGAUGAUCCAUCAAGCGCAUCGGCCCGCCUCUCCCUGUCUCCAGUCUCCGGUGUACCCGGCCGGUUCGGUAGCCCCUCCGCCAGGUGGAGCACCCGCAUGGCCGCAUGUCACCAUCAUCAUGAUGAUGAAAUUUCCGAAACACAAAAAUUCUGAUGUCAGAUUUUCAGGCACGACAAAUCUGAUGUUUUUCAUGCCAAUUUAUAUUGACGCGAUGAUGAAAAAUAUAGUUUGUAAGCCCGAUAAUUUUUUGAUAAAAUAAUGAACCGAUAGAUUUGGCAUGCUCGCUAACUAAACUUGUAAUCCUCAAAGAACAUAAUUUGCAAUGAGAAACGUUCGAUUUGUUAUGGUCAAAAAUCUGACGUCAUAUUUAUAGUGCAGUCCUAGAAUUUAGAACACAUUUUUCUGUUUACAAAUUUUAGGGUACACAUUGCUCGUCUCAAACACCAAUGGCUAGCCCUGAUUCGACCUCACCCUUUAAGCAGAACUGACUCACACGCCCUGCUCUGUCGAACUAUAUCAAUCUCUGCUUACACCCUGGAACCAACAUGUGGUUGUAUUUCAAGUCCACCAGCGAUCGUGUCGAUGCCAAGUAUUUAGUGACUUCCCCAUUCUUGAAGCUGCGCAAUUCUAGUUUGCGGUAGUAGAUGUCCUGUGAGUGUUUGCAUAUGGUGAUAGUGUGUGCGCGUGUGUGCCUGCGCAUCUUUACCACGUUCACUUAUCCUUCCCGCCUUGCCAUUUUUCAAACUUAUUGCCCACCUCUCCAAGGCAUCCUUUUUUUGGCGAGAAAUUUUUUGAUCUAUUCAUCAACUGCUAAUUAAGGUAGUACAACAAACAACAGAAGUAAAAAAUUACAUUCAUGUCUGUAGACCACCUAGUGACAACUACAAGCACUGGAACGAGCCCAUAAAACACUACAAGGCACACGUUUUAAUCUCUAUAAAACACUAACCAAACAUUUACAAUAUCUCCACAAUGAUUGGCCGAACUGAUAUUUUUGCGUGAGUCCCUCCGCUUUCAAAGUACAAGUGUAUUAGGCUUUAUAAUUUCAAUCUUCUUAAUCUUUGACCAAGAUUAUUUGGAAAACAGUAAUAUAUACAAUACAGUACGAAGUUAGUACUCCCUCCGGUCUUUUUUAGUCUGUAUAUAAGUUUUGUCCGAAGUCACAAUAUCUCUACUUUGACCAAAAUUAUAGAAAAAGUAUCAACAUUCACAAUGUCAAAUCAAUAUUGUUAGAUUUAUCAUGAAAUAUAGUUUCAUGGUAUAUAUAUUUGUUGUUGUAGAUGUCGAUUUUUUAAUAUAAAUUUGAUCAAACUUUGCAAAGUUUGACUUGACACAAAUGUAAUAUGCCGAGUAAAAAGGACCGGAGGGAGUAUCAUUAAAUCCACCAUCAAAUAUAUUUUGUUUUUUGGUAUUGCAAAUAUUUAUAUCUAUUGCCAUAAAAUUAGUCAAACAUAAAAAGGGUUUUAGAAAAAAAAAUACUAUUUAUAUUUUGAGACGUAGGGGGUAUGAAUUAUAGGUGUGAGUAACAAUGUAAUAUUUUUGUAUGAAUACUACUCCCUCCGUCCCAUAAUAUAAGAACGUUUUUUACACUAGUGUAGUGUUAAAAACGUUAUAUUUCGGGACAGAGGGAGUAAUAUGUUAUUUUUGCGCAAGUACUUGUAUGAACCAAUAAUUGUGGACUGGUGGUUACUAAUAAUUGUGCUGAUCCUUCUACAUUGCCAUUUUCCCCCUGAAUUUCUGAAUCCUAGACGAAAUCAAGGUCAUCGUUGAGUAGAGAUGUGCACGAAUCUUGUGAACAUCUGUUUCCAAGCGCAAUACUCCAUUGAGAUACACCUCCUCGUUGUCUCUGUUCGCAGGUCCCAUUUUCCUUAGCAGCCGGUAUGGCCUUGACUUCUGACCUUGGGCCAUCUUCAUUUUCAUCAGAAGGUAAGAUCUCGAUGCCAAUAAUAUUAAUAAUAUACUCUAUCCUCAGCAAAUAACUCUGCUUCGGUGUUCACACAUGCGGCAUAGGUAUGCGGUGACGACAUGCAUAGCCAGCACCAUGCAUACAUGCAUGCACUGAUCAUAGCCCUAUAUAAAGGACUCCAUAUGCCUCAUCGCUAACUCAUCCACCACAGCUUUGCUGCAACCACCAGUGAAGCACUCUUGAUCAACAAACUCUAGCUGAUCAGUGCUAGCUAAGCUUGCUACAUAGCAAGCCAUGGGUUACUCCAAAAACCUAGGGGCUAGCCUGUUUGCCAUGCUGCUGCUUGCUCCGGCCGUCCUGGCCUCCGACCCUGACCCUCUCCAAGACUUCUGCGUUGCUGACCUCGACGGCAAGGCGGUCUCUGUGAACGGGCAUCCAUGCAAGCCCAUGUCGGAGGCCGGUGACGACUUCCUCUUCUCGACCAAGCUGGCCAAGGCCGGCAACACGUCCACCCCGAAUGGCUCGGCCGUGACGGAGCUCGACGUGGCCGAGUGGCCCGGUACGAACACGCUGGGUGUGUCCAUGAACCGUGUGGACUUCGCGCCGGGAGGCACCAACCCGCCGCAUGUCCACCCGCGCGGGACCGAGAUCGGCAUGGUGAUGAAAGGUGAGCUCCUCGUUGGAAUCCUCGGAAGCCUCGACUCCGGAAACAAGCUCUACUCUAGGGUGGUGCGUGCUGGAGAGACGUUCCUCAUCCCACGCGGGCUCAUGCACUUCCAGUUCAACGUUGGUAAGACAGAGGCCUACAUGGUUGUUUCCUUCAACAGCCAGAACCCCGGCAUCGUUUUCGUGCCGCUCAUGCUCUUCGGUUCCAACCCGCCAAUCCCCACGCCGGUGCUCACCAAGGCACUAAGGGUGGAGGCCGGGGUCGUCGAACUUCUCAAGUCCAAGUUCGCUGGUGGGUCUUAAUCCCUGGGAGCUUGCCCUGAAAUGAUGAGUAUAUAAUUUGAUAUAUGCAUGCCAAUGAGAUUUAAUAAUUGUUCAGCAGAAGACACGUAUUCAAGCUUCUAGCUAAGCUCGCAUGCAGUUGUAAUAAGAUUGAAUAAGUUAGCCUCGCGGUUUAGCCUUCAGAGCCAAUACGAGGAAUCGAAGUGUACUGCUUUUCAUUGUCGUAUUUGUUCU
Molecule: long non-coding RNA, 4453 nt
Filed under: Triticum aestivum (bread wheat)
Lineage: Eukaryota; Viridiplantae; Streptophyta; Magnoliopsida; Poales; Poaceae
Description: long non-coding RNA (TAES_LNC027457)
Source: RNAcentral